Molecule: ribosomal RNA, 512 nt
Filed under: uncultured bacterium
Lineage: Bacteria
Description: bacterial SSU rRNA
Rfam family: Bacterial small subunit ribosomal RNA
Source: RNAcentral
GCUGGCGGCGUGCCUAAUACAUGCAAGUCGAACGGCUUUUCUAUGGAAGCUUGCUUCCACUGAGAAGAUAGUGGCGAACGGGUGAGUAACACGUGGGUAACCUGCCCAUAAGAGGGGGGAUAACAUCCGGAAACGGGUGCUAAUACCGCAUAGUUUUCUUGAUCGCAUGAUCGGGAAAGGAAAGACGGCCUUUGUGCUGUCGCUUAUGGAUGGACCCGCGGCGUAUUAGUUAGUUGGUGAGGUAACGGCUCACCAAGACGAUGAUACGUAGCCGACCUGAGAGGGUGAUCGGCCACAUUGGGACUGAGACACGGCCCAAACUCCUACGGGAGGCAGCAGUAGGGAAUCUUCCGCAAUGGACGAAAGUCUGACGGAGCAACGCCGCGUGAGUGAAGAAGGUUUUUCCGGAUCGUAAAACUCUGUUGUCAGAGAAGAACAAGUUGGAGAGUAACUGCUCCAGCCUUGACGGUAUCUGACCAGAAAGCCACGGCUAACUACGUGCCAGCAGCAGC